AGAAUCAACGCUGGCGGCGUGCCUAACACAUGCAAGUCGAACGAGAAAGUGGAGCAAUCCAUGAGUAAAGUGGCGCACGGGUGAGUAACACGUGACUAACCUACCCUUGAGUGGGGGAUAACCUAGGGAAACCUGGGCUAAUACCGCAUAAUACCUUCGGGUCAAAGGAGCAAUUCGCUUAAGGAGGGGGUCGCGGCCGAUUAGUUAGUUGGCGGGGUAAUGGCCCACCAAGACUGUGAUCGGUAUCCGGCCUGAGAGGGCGCACGGACACACUGGAACUGAAACACGGUCCAGACUCCUACGGGAGGCAGCAGUGGGGAAUUUGCGCAAUGGGGGAAACCCUGACGCAGCAACGCCGCGUGGAGGAUGAAGUCCCUUGGGACGUAAACUCCUUUCGAUCGGGACGAUUAUGACGGUACCGGAAGAAGAAGCCCCGGCUAACUUCGUGCCAGCAGCCGC
Molecule: ribosomal RNA, 459 nt
Filed under: uncultured bacterium
Lineage: Bacteria
Description: SSU rRNA
Rfam family: Bacterial small subunit ribosomal RNA
Source: RNAcentral